CCUGUAUUGUUUAUGUCCUGUGUGAGGAAGUCUAAUGGAUCACUAAUGAUUGUCUGUAGCACCGAGAGAUUUUACCCCGCUGCUCUUCAACAGCUGUGGAUGAAAGAUGGAGAAAUCAUCAUUAACUCAAACAACAAUGAGAGUUACAGCACAAAUACAGAUGGAUCUUUUACACACAAAUCUUACCUGGAGUUGCCAUCACAAAUGUUUAAUGAAACAAUCUUCAUCUGCUGGAUAAACCACUCAUCCCUAAAUGAACCGAUCAUGGCAAAAUUAUCCAGCACUGCCUGUUAUAAAACAAGCGAUAUGACUUUGAUUGUGGUGUUUGUCGUUUUUGCUGUGCUGAUUGUCUUUGUGAUUAUUGCAGUAACUGCGGUUACAUGUAAAUGUUACAAAAGAGCACAACCGCAAUCUGCUGUAGAAGUUGAUGUCACAGCUGACCCUGUUUACCAAGCUAGCCUGCAGUCUUUUGAAUUGUAUUCAUCAUUGGGUGAUCACCAUCCAAUCCCAUGUAGCCGUAGCCCUAGUGAAGUCUGGUCAUCUUUAAAUACGGACUAAAUACAUUUUACAAUGACAGGUCACUUGAAACUUUUAUAUUACCUUUACUACUGUCUUUUACCACCAUAGAAACCAUACAUUGUGGGUGUGUUUGACUUCAUGCAGCGCUGCACAGACCACUUAGCGUAUGACAAUAAAAUAUUGCUUUCUUCACUUCAGCUGCCCAAUCAAAAGAUAAAGAUGAUUCUCUUAAAAGAGGUCUCAGUAACAAUCACUAAGAGAUGUUUGCAAUUCAUCUGAAUUUCUAUAGGCUUAGAUGCAAUGUAAAAUAUUAUCAUGCCACAACAUACAGACACAAUGCUUGCAGAGCAUUGCAACACUGUAACUCUGUCAUGCUUGUCUCAUCUGAUCACUUCACUUACCAAAACCUCACCCCAUUUUGUUUAAAGAUUAAGAACCUUACAAGACAAUGCCACUUUUUUCACUUUUUUAUCACCUACCACAAUGUAAAGGAAAUGAAACCAAUAGGAGAGCAGUGUGUUAUAAUUGGUCCACAAUAUUAUUUUACAGUAAAUAUAAGUAUACAUUGUUUUUAUAAUAAAAUAUUUCAUAAUUCUCUAUGAGCACAUUCAUGUUUUCACAUAUUGCCAUUGUAAUAAAAUCAGCCAACUGCAGUGACAUUUACUUUAGGUCUUUCCUUUUCAGAUCUAGACCUUUACUUCCUCUCACACUUUGUUGUUAAAAUAACUAAACCUUUAUUGCUUCAGUUUAGCUGCCCAACCACGAAGUGACGCUGUGAUGUUUUUGCUGCAAGACAAACUAUAAAUAGAGUCAAUGGUAUCAGUGUUUGAAAAUGGUUCCUAGCUAUCACUGAGGUGGAACUCUUUCAAAAAGUUUUUACCUAAAAAGUUUACAUUAGUACCUCAAAGGUACAUUAUGGUAUCAAAUGUAUAUAUAUCAGUACCUACAUGAUACAUAUUAGGACCUUUUUAAAGGCUACUGCCCCAGUGACAGUUAAAGGGACCAUUUUUGGCCAUUUAAACUGACAGUGUAUGCAGUAUGCAUAAAUAUGAGGAAUGCAAUAAUGAAUGAAGUUAACUGUAUUUUAAUGCAUGCAUUGUUUGACUCACAAUGAAUAAAUCUGUUUUUUAU
Non-coding RNA from Paramisgurnus dabryanus, 1650 nucleotides. The record is from RefSeq and is a predicted model, not a curated record. Lineage: Eukaryota; Metazoa; Chordata; Actinopteri; Cypriniformes; Cobitidae.